GGGUUGUGAGGUUAAGCGACUAAGCGUACACGGUGGAUGCCCUGGCAGUCAGAGGCGAUGAAGGGCGUGCUAAUCUGCGAUAAGCGCCGGUAAGGUGAUAUGAACCGUUAUAACCGGCGAUACCCGAAUGGGGAAACCCAGUGUGAUUCGUCACACUAUCAUUAACUGAAUCCAUAGGUUAAUGAGGCGAACCGGGGGAACUGAAACAUCUAAGUACCCCGAGGAAAAGAAAUCAACCGAGAUUCCCCCAGUAGCGGCGAGCGAACGGGGAGGAGCCCAGAGCCUGAAUCAGCAUGUGUGUUAGUGGAAGCGUCUGGAAAGGCGCGCGAUACAGGGUGACAGCCCCGUACACAAAAGCGCAUGUGCUGUGAGCUCGAUGAGUAGGGCGGGACACGUGGUAUCCUGUCUGAAUAUGGGGGGACCAUCCUCCAAGGCUAAAUACUCCUGACUGACCGAUAGUGAACCAGUACCGUGAGGGAAAGGCGAAAAGAACCCCGGCGAGGGGAGUGAAAAAGAACCUGAAACCGUGUACGUACAAGCAGUGGGAGCACAGGUUUACCUGUGUGACUGCGUACCUUUUGUAUAAUGGGUCAGCGACUUAUAUUCUGUAGCAAGGUUAACCGAAUAGGGGAGCCGGAGGGAAACCGAGUCUUAACCGGGCGUUAAGUUGCAGGGUAUAGACCCGAAACCCGGUGAUCUAGCCAUGGGCAGGUUGAAGGUUGGGUAACACUAACUGGAGGACCGAACCGACUAAUGUUGAAAAAUUAGCGGAUGACCUGUGGCUGGGGGUGAAAGGCCAAUCAAACCGGGAGAUAGCUGGUUCUCCCCGAAAGCUAUUUAGGUAGCGCCUCGUGAAUUCAUCUCCGGGGGUAGAGCACUGUUUCGGCUAGGGGGCCAUCCCGGCUUACCAACCCGAUGCAAACUGCGAAUACCGGAGAAUGUUAUCACGGGAGACACACGGCGGGUGCUAACGUCCGUCGUGAAGAGGGAAACAACCCAGACCGCCAGCUAAGGUCCCAAAGUCAUGGUUAAGUGGGAAACGAUGUGGGAAGGCCCAGACAGCCAGGAUGUUGGCUUAGAAGCAGCCAUCAUUUAAAGAAAGCGUAAUAGCUCACUGGUCGAGUCGGCCUGCGCGGAAGAUGUAACGGGGCUAAACCAUGCACCGAAGCUGCGGCAGCGACGCUGAUGCGUUGUUGGGUAGGGGAGCGUUCUGUAAGCCUGCGAAGGUGGCCUGUGAGGGUUGCUGGAGGUAUCAGAAGUGCGAAUGCUGACAUAAGUAACGAUAAAGCGGGUGAAAAGCCCGCUCGCCGGAAGACCAAGGGUUCCUGUCCAACGUUAAUCGGGGCAGGGUGAGUCGACCCCUAAGGCGAGGCCGAAAGGCGUAGUCGAUGGGAAACGGGUUAAUAUUCCCGUACUUGGUGUUACUGCGAAGGGGGGACGGAGAAGGCUAUGUUGGCCGGGCGACGGUUGUCCCGGUUUAAGCGUGUAGGUGUGUGUUCCAGGUAAAUCCGGUUCACUUUAACACUGAGGCGUGAUGACGAGGCACUACGGUGCUGAAGCAACAAAUGCCCUGCUUCCAGGAAAAGCCUCUAAGCAUCAGGUAACAUCAAAUCGUACCCCAAACCGACACAGGUGGUCAGGUAGAGAAUACCAAGGCGCUUGAGAGAACUCGGGUGAAGGAACUAGGCAAAAUGGUGCCGUAACUUCGGGAGAAGGCACGCUGACAUGUAGGUGAAGUGAUUUACUCAUGGAGCUGAAGUCAGUCGAAGAUACCAGCUGGCUGCAACUGUUUAUUAAAAACACAGCACUGUGCAAACACGAAAGUGGACGUAUACGGUGUGACGCCUGCCCGGUGCCGGAAGGUUAAUUGAUGGGGUCAGCGCAAGCGAAGCUCCUGAUCGAAGCCCCGGUAAACGGCGGCCGUAACUAUAACGGUCCUAAGGUAGCGAAAUUCCUUGUCGGGUAAGUUCCGACCUGCACGAAUGGCGUAAUGAUGGCCAGGCUGUCUCCACCCGAGACUCAGUGAAAUUGAACUCGCUGUGAAGAUGCAGUGUACCCGCGGCAAGACGGAAAGACCCCGUGAACCUUUACUAUAGCUUGACACUGAACAUUGAGCCUUGAUGUGUAGGAUAGGUGGGAGGCUUUGAAGUGUGGACGCCAGUCUGCAUGGAGCCGACCUUGAAAUACCACCCUUUAAUGUUUGAUGUUCUAACGUGGACCCGUUACCCGGGUUGCGGACAGUGUCUGGUGGGUAGUUUGACUGGGGCGGUCUCCUCCUAAAGAGUAACGGAGGAGCACGAAGGUUGGCUAAUCCUGGUCGGACAUCAGGAGGUUAGUGCAAUGGCAUAAGCCAGCUUGACUGCGAGCGUGACGGCGCGAGCAGGUGCGAAAGCAGGUCAUAGUGAUCCGGUGGUUCUGAAUGGAAGGGCCAUCGCUCAACGGAUAAAAGGUACUCCGGGGAUAACAGGCUGAUACCGCCCAAGAGUUCAUAUCGACGGCGGUGUUUGGCACCUCGAUGUCGGCUCAUCACAUCCUGGGGCUGAAGUAGGUCCCAAGGGUAUGGCUGUUCGCCAUUUAAAGUGGUACGCGAGCUGGGUUUAGAACGUCGUGAGACAGUUCGGUCCCUAUCUGCCGUGGGCGCUGGAGAACUGAGGGGGGCUGCUCCUAGUACGAGAGGACCGGAGUGGACGCAUCACUGGUGUUCGGGUUGUCAUGCCAAUGGCACUGCCCGGUAGCUAAAUGCGGAAGAGAUAAGUGCUGAAAGCAUCUAAGCACGAAACUUGCCCCGAGAUGAGUUCUCCCUGAGACUUAGAGUCUCCUGAAGGAACGUUGAAGACGACGACGUUGAUAGGCCGGGUGUGUAAGCGCAGCGAUGCGUUGAGCUAACCGGUACUAAUGAACCGUGAGGCUUAACCUUACAACGCCGAAG
This 2929-nucleotide ribosomal RNA is filed under the name Salmonella enterica subsp. enterica serovar Apapa str. SA20060561. RNAcentral's name for it is "bacterial LSU rRNA". It matches the Rfam family "Bacterial large subunit ribosomal RNA". The record is from RNAcentral. Lineage: Bacteria; Pseudomonadati; Pseudomonadota; Gammaproteobacteria; Enterobacterales; Enterobacteriaceae.